This 253-nucleotide ribosomal RNA is filed under the name uncultured bacterium. Its description in RNAcentral is "partial 16S ribosomal RNA". It matches the Rfam family "Bacterial small subunit ribosomal RNA", at positions 524 to 776 of the family's 1533-position model. The record is from RNAcentral.
UACAGAGACUGCAAGCGUUAUUCGGAUUCACUGGGCGUAAAGGGUGCGCAGGCGGCCGAGUGUGUGAGGCGUGAAAGCCCGGGGCUUAACCCCGGAAUUGCACCUCAAACUACACGGCUAGAGCAUUGGAGAGGGUAGCAGAAUUCAUGGUGUAGCAGUGAAAUGCGUAGAUAUCAUGAGGAAUACCAGAGGCGAAGGCGACUUCCUGGCCUGUUCUUGACGCUGAGGCGCGAAAGCUAGGGUAGCAAACGGG